Molecule: unclassified non-coding RNA, 274 nt
Filed under: Glomus sp.
Lineage: Eukaryota; Fungi; Glomeromycota; Glomeromycetes; Glomerales; Glomeraceae
Description: partial contains 5.8S ribosomal RNA and internal transcribed spacer 2
Rfam family: 5.8S ribosomal RNA (bases 1-65)
Source: RNAcentral
GUGAAUCAUCAAAUCUUUGAACGCAAAUUGCACUCUCCUCGGAGAGUAUGCCUGUUUGAGGGUCAGCCUAUAAAAAAUCAAAAUCGUUGGUGUUUCGCGGUGGCGUUCGUCGGAAAUUGGGUCAUCUUAAAUCUUUUGGUUGUAAGGGACUUAAAAUUUUCUUUUUGGUUCCAUGAACGUUUCUAAGAUUUAUUUAUUUAAACGUUUAAGGUAUCGAUUGUUAUUAGACGUGACCAUCAUAUCGGAUCGCGCAAAUAAUCUUUGAUUAACUGAC